UACGUAGGUGGCAAGCGUUGUCCGGAAUUAUUGGGCGUAAAGCGCGCGCAGGCGGUCCUUUAAGUCUGAUGUGAAAGCCCACGGCUCAACCGUGGAGGGUCAUUGGAAACUGGGGGACUUGAGUGCAGGAGAGGAAAGUGGAAUUCCAAGUGUAGCGGUGAAAUGCGUAGAGAUUUGGAGGAACACCAGUGGCGAAGGCGACUUUCUGGUCUGUAACUGACGCUGAGGCGCGAAAGCGUGGGGAGCAAACAGG
RNAcentral lists this ribosomal RNA (253 nucleotides) under uncultured bacterium. Its description in RNAcentral is "partial 16S ribosomal RNA". It matches the Rfam family "Bacterial small subunit ribosomal RNA", at positions 524 to 776 of the family's 1533-position model. The record is from RNAcentral.